UACGUAGGGUGCGAGCGUUGUCCGGAAUUAUUGGGCGUAAAGAGCUCGUAGGCGGUCUGUCGCGUCGGUCGUGAAAACCUGCAGCUUAACUGUGGGCGUGCGGUCGAUACGGGCAUGACUGGAGUUCGGCAGGGGAGACUGGAAUUCCUGGUGUAGCGGUGAAAUGCGCAGAUAUCAGGAGGAACACCGGUGGCGAAGGCGGGUCUCUGGGCCGAUACUGACGCUGAGGAGCGAAAGCGUGGGGAGUGAACAGG
This 254-nucleotide ribosomal RNA is filed under the name uncultured bacterium. RNAcentral describes it as "partial 16S ribosomal RNA". It matches the Rfam family "Bacterial small subunit ribosomal RNA", at positions 524 to 776 of the family's 1533-position model. The record is from RNAcentral.